This 460-nucleotide ribosomal RNA is filed under the name uncultured bacterium. RNAcentral's name for it is "partial 16S ribosomal RNA". It matches the Rfam family "Bacterial small subunit ribosomal RNA", at positions 338 to 795 of the family's 1533-position model. The record is from RNAcentral.
CCUACGGGAGGCAGCAGUGAGGAAUAUUGGUCAAUGGGCGGAAGCCUGAACCAGCCAAGUCGCGUGAGGGAUUAAGGCCCUGCGGGUCGUAAACCUCUUUUGCCGGGGAGCAGAGGUCCGGACGUGUCCGGGCCGGGAGAGUACCCGGAGACAAAGCAUCGGCUAACUCCGUGCCAGCAGCCGCGGUAAUACGGAGGAUGCGAGCGUUCUCCGGAUUUAUUGGGUUUAAAGGGUGCGUAGGCGGGCAUUUAAGCCGGCGGUCAAAUGUCGGGGCUCAACCCCGGCCUGCCGUCGGAACUGGGUGCCUUGAGUGGGCGAGAAGUAGGCGGAAGGCGUGGUGUAGCGGUGAAAUGCAUAGAUAUCACGCAGAACCCCGAUUGCGAAGGCAGCAUACCGGCGCCCUACUGACGCUGAGGCACGAAAGUGCGGGUAUCGAACAGGAUUAGAUACCCCAGUAGUC